This is a long non-coding RNA of Haemorhous mexicanus (house finch), 916 nucleotides long. RefSeq lists it as uncharacterized. The record is from RefSeq and is a predicted model, not a curated record. The transcript is spliced from 3 exons. NCBI's taxonomy places the organism in Eukaryota, Metazoa, Chordata, Aves, Passeriformes, Fringillidae.
UUUUCCCCCUGAAGUAAGAGCGUCCAUGUGGGAAAACCAGCUUUAGAUUCCAUUUUUGCUGAAGAAGAACUUUCUUUGUGCAGGAGUCUCACAACUGCAGAAGUUUUGCGCUGGCUGGGUAGACAGAAGAUCCUAUUCUUCUGGAAGAAUUACAUGGACAGUGUUACAGAGGUUCAGAGGUCCAACUCAUCAUUUUUUAGCUAUGGUGACCAGGCACUGGAACAGAUUUCUUGGAGAGCUUGUGGAGUUUCCCUCGCUGGAGAUAAUCAAGAAUAUUCACUUGGAUGCAAUCCUGUGCCAUGUACUUUGGGAUGACCCUUCUUGAGCAGGGAGUCUGAACUACAUGACCUACUGCAGUCCCUCUCAACCCGAUUCAUUCUGUGAUAAUCAGUGAUAUGUUUAUGAGUCUUUACUCUUUUUCUUAAAUAUGUGGCAUUUGGGGGAAAAAAACCCCAUGAAAAAACGAGUAAAGAAUUUAGUAGUAAGGACCUAUGUGAAAGCCUUCAAAAUAAAAUAAAAAAGACAGAGGUGUGCAAGUUUAUAUGGUUUUAAAGAUGUUUCAUGCAUACCUGCUUUUACACUACCUUGUUCAUUGUGCUUUCUUACUCACCCUUUUAUUUCCUUUAUAAAAUUUAUAUACAUUUAUAACAGUUCUUACUUACAUAUCACUGUUACUACUGUGAAGAUGUGUGGGAGACCCUUGCUGCCAUCACACCAUUCCUGCUGCCUCUUUGUUAAACCCUUUCCCUUGAUACUAAGUGUGUUUGUUGUUUCUUUACAUGGUAACUCAAAAAUACACUAUGCCUCUUCCUCUGUGUUGGUAGAGCUUUUAGCUUAACUGGGUUUUAGGCCCUAUUAUCACAAACAAUAAUUAACAGUGUAAGGCAUGUCAUAUGUUCAAAGAAGUUUGAAAGCA